AACGCGAAGAACCUUACCUGGGCUCGAAAUGUAGUGGAAUGGGGUGGAAACAUCCCCGUCUCGCAAGAGACUGCUAUAUAGGUGCUGCAUGGCUGUCGUCAGCUCGUGUCGUGAGAUGUUGGGUUAAGUCCCGCAACGAGCGCAACCCUUAUCCCUAGUUGCCAUCGGGUCAAGCCGGGCACUCUAGUGAAACCGCCCAGGAUAACUGGGAGGAAGGUGGGGAUGACGUCAAGUCCUCAUGGCCUUUAUGUCCAGGGCUACACACGUGCUACAAUGGUCGGUACAAACCGUCGCAAACCCGCGAGGGGGAGCUAAUCGGAAAAAGCCGGCCUCAGUUCGGAUUGGAGUCUGCAACCCGACUCCAUGAAGCUGGAAUCGCUAGUAAUCGCGGAUCAGAACGCCGCGGUGAAUACGUUCCCGGGCCUUGUACACACCGCUGUA
Molecule: ribosomal RNA, 441 nt
Filed under: uncultured bacterium
Lineage: Bacteria
Description: bacterial SSU rRNA
Rfam family: Bacterial small subunit ribosomal RNA
Source: RNAcentral